This 282-nucleotide unclassified non-coding RNA is filed under the name Hevea brasiliensis (rubber tree). The record is from RNAcentral. Lineage: Eukaryota; Viridiplantae; Streptophyta; Magnoliopsida; Malpighiales; Euphorbiaceae.
GCAUAGCCGGCGGGCCAUUCCGGCUCGGUGUCGGGUAGGAAAAGCCAGCGCCAGAGAAGGGCGAUGGCAACGCCGAGCGGCACGCCGGCCAUGCUAAUGCCAAAACCAAGGGCUUUUCCGACAUGGCGUUCGGCCCUGCCGGCGACGAUCUGCACCGCCAGAAUAACGCCGAUGAUGAUGGGCCAAAGUGCAUGGGCGAUCAGAUAGCCGCCCCAUGCGAUACGCAAUUCAGCGUUUAGCGAGAAAAACCAGAACGGUGCGGCGCAAGGCAAAAUCAAGACG